This 256-nucleotide ribosomal RNA is filed under the name uncultured bacterium. Its description in RNAcentral is "partial 16S ribosomal RNA". It matches the Rfam family "Bacterial small subunit ribosomal RNA", at positions 524 to 776 of the family's 1533-position model. The record is from RNAcentral.
UACGUAGGGGGCUAGCGUUGUCCGGAUUUAUUGGGCGUAAAGAGCGUGUAGGCGGCCAGGUAGGUCUGCUGUGAAAACUCGAGGCUCAACCGCGGUAGGUCGUUGGAAACUGCCUCGCUAGAGUCCGGAAGAGGAGAGCGGAAUUCCUGGUGUGGCGGUGGAAUGCGCAGAUAUAGGGAAGAACACCAAUAAAGGCGAAGGCAGUUAACUAUUCUAUUCCUGACAUUGAGGCAUGAAAGCGUGGGGAGCAAAACGG